RNAcentral lists this ribosomal RNA (506 nucleotides) under uncultured bacterium. RNAcentral's name for it is "partial 16S ribosomal RNA". It matches the Rfam family "Bacterial small subunit ribosomal RNA", at positions 29 to 523 of the family's 1533-position model. The record is from RNAcentral.
AGUGAACGCUGGCGGUAGGCCUAACACAUGCAAGUCGAACGGCAGCACAGGAGAGCUUGCUCUCUGGGUGGCGAGUGGCGGACGGGUGAGGAAUACAUCGGAAUCUACUUUUUCGUGGGGGAUAACGUAGGGAAACUUACGCUAAUACCGCAUACGACCUACGGGUGAAAGCAGGGGAUCUUCGGACCUUGCGCGAUUGAAUGAGCCGAUGUCGGAUUAGCUAGUUGGCGGGGUAAAGGCCCACCAAGGCGACGAUCCGUAGCUGGUCUGAGAGGAUGAGCGGCCACACUGGAACUGAGCCACGGUCCAGACUCCUACGGGAGGCAGCAGUGGGGAAUAUUGGACAAUGGGCGCAAGCCUGAUCCAGCCAUACCGCGUGGGUGAAGAAGGCCUUCGGGUUGUAAAGCCCUUUUGUUGGGAAAGAAAUCCAUCUGGUUAAUACCCGGGUGGGAUGACGGUACCCAAAGAAUAAGCACCGGCUAACUUCGUGCCAGCCGCCGCCGUAA